Papaver somniferum (opium poppy) is the source of this 2474-nucleotide long non-coding RNA. RefSeq lists it as uncharacterized. The transcript is spliced from 8 exons. NCBI's taxonomy places the organism in Eukaryota, Viridiplantae, Streptophyta, Magnoliopsida, Ranunculales, Papaveraceae. The record is from RefSeq and is a predicted model, not a curated record.
AAUAUUUAUACGGUGAUGAUGAAACCUCGUCUUUAUCGAGAUAUUAUCUUUUCUUUUAUAUCCAUUUUCAUUGCAUUAUUGCAAUUCUUCUCUCCAGUUCAGAGCUCCAGUUUAGAGAAAAAAAAAAUCAAAUACACAAAUCGCCAUGAUUCAAAACCAUUAUUUCUCCCCAUAUCUAUCAACCUUUUUUUUUUUCCCAAAACCGAUACAUUCAAAACGUCUUUUUUUCGGUUUUCAAUCUUCAUCAGAAGACCUUUAGGUGGAUUUAUGUUCAGGUAUAACAUCUCCAUCUCUUUGAUUCAAUUUUGUUGGUGUUAAAUUGGAUUCCUCUUAACCUAAUCAACACGAAGAAAUCUAAGUUUCUUAGAAAGAUUUCUCUAUUUCGCGAGGUUGGUCUGCUAUAAUGUUUUUCUGGUAUUGAAAAGGGUUUUGACUGAACGGCUUCAACAAUUUCAUGAGAAACAAAUGUUAAGUCAUUCAAUUUUGGUAUGGGUUUUCAAUUUUUCUCUAUGGGUUUUCUUAAAUGGAAAGUUGUGCUUGAUUGGGGUUUUCCUGGCAUUUAUCUGUAUUGUUGUUGCUAUGGAGGUGCUUCUUGUUAGGUUAGUUACGGGUAUAUGGUUAUGGCUAGUGGGGGCAGAUGCUCUGUGGUCUGUGAAGUUUGAGUUUGGGAGGAAGGACAGGAGGGGGGAACUAUGCGCACCUGGUUAAUCUAGUUCCAAGGAAGGUAUUUUGCAAUACCCAUUAUCACAUUUGAUCUUGUGAAGUUUGAGUUUGGAAUUUGGGAGGUUUAAUUAUAGUCGUGGCUGAUGAAGCUGUGAUUCACCAUACUUGGGUUGAGCUAGAGCUCAAACAGAUACAUGUUGUCGGGAUAUAUGGCUGGGGUAGUGUAUGUGAGACGAUUGAUGGGGAAUUGUUAGAAUAUAGUUCACACAAUCAGCUGGCUUGCGGGAGUAUCAGUGACGGCCUUGUGAAAACAUCAUCUGCUCUUGUUGGAACAUUAUUGAAGACGUAUCAGCGCAGUGGUGGCGCAGGAUCAACAUUGGCAAGUGCUGUUUGUGCAGCUCCUGUUGCUGCCGUAGCAUGAACCUGUUUCAGCAUACGCAGAGGUAAUGGUGUGCGACCUUGGACUAAGUUCAUACUGUAGUCGGCAUGUAAUUCUGCACUAAUGAAAGUCACAGGUGAGUAAAGAUUCUAUUGGCCAUGUUUGUGUAGACUGUUCUGGUGAUUUAUCUAGAAUUUUGGUGUUGCGGCUGAUGGUGCCUUACAAUUGAUGUAAUUAUCCGAAGUUGUUUAAAUAGUGUCCUAAUUCUGAAGCAAGUCUACUGCACUGAUAGCUAGUUUAAGUAGUUGUAGUAUAUUGGUGUUGCUUAAUGUAGUAAAGUGUAUGACAGCUGAUUGAAUUAUUUUACUUGUUUUAGAUUAAGAGAAUCAAGCUUAUAUGCAUUCCAAAGGUUUUUGCACCAGAACAUCAAACCAGAUAAUUUACUUAUGCAUAUAGGACAGAAAAUCAAUCAAUUACUGAAUUUCUUUCCUUUGCAUCUUAUUGAGUUGUAUGGAGUUAAAGUUUUCUAUUUUUCUUCAUUUUUUCUUUUCGCAAUUUUUUUUUUGUGAACCCAUCAUGUGCCAGAAUAUCCCCAAGAUUUUCACUGAUAAUUCUUUGGUUUAUUUGUGAUGUUAGAAAUGUGAAGUACCGAGUAUUUGGUUUUUGUACUUACCCUUAAGGUUACCACAUGUUGGAAAAAAGCCAUUGGACUGGUAGGCAUGCCUAUGGAAACUAGUAGGCGUGACUGAUAUGGUGCUCAAAGGACCGGGAAAGCUUAAACUGCAAAUGGUCAAGGAAGUGGUGAAAAUUCCAAGAUGGAGUAUGAAAGUCAAAGUUUGAUCAUAUAAAUGGUAAUGACUGCAGUUCAUAUGCAUUCAAAAGGUUUUUCGCACCAGAACAUCAAACCAGAUAAUUUACUUAUGCAUAUUGGACAGAAAACCAAUCAAGUUGGAAAAAAGCCAAAUUUGCACUGGUAGGCAUGCCUCUGGAAACUAGUACGCGCGGCUGAUAUGGUGCUCAAAGGACCGAGAAAGCUUAAACUGAAAAUGGUCAAGGAAGUAAUACACUACCUGUAUACAUCUUCUGCACCUUUUUAACGGCAAGUAUUUAAGGAAUUUUUUGCAGUAUAUGAUAAAUGGAUAAUACAUUAAUGUGUACACAUAUUGCUCAGGUGGUGAAAAUUCCAAGAUGGAGCAUGAAAAUUAAAGGACCUGAUUUGAGCUAGUUUCUCAGAAAAUGAAGGCAUAGAUGGUGCAGGUUUUUGUUUGCAGCUUAGUGUGUUGAAGUUUUUAUGGUUAGACUUGUAAUACAGAAAUGUAUGUUAAGGUUUUCCAACUUAGUAUUGAAGUUUUCCAGAUUUGGAACUUGCAGUAUUUUAGAUAACUGAUUUGUAAAGUGAAUACACUUUUCAAUACAAAUUGAGUUUUAAAGU